CGCAACGCCGCGUGAGCGAUGAAGGCCUUCGGGUCGUAAAGCUCUGUUGUUAGAGAAGAACAAGUACGAGAGUAACUGCUCGUACCUUGACGGUACCUAACCAGAAAGCCACGGCUAACUACGUGCCAGCAGCCGCGGUAAUACGUAGGUGGCAAGCGUUAUCCGGAAUUAUUGGGCGUAAAGCGCGCGCAGGCGGUCUCUUAAGUCUGAUGUGAAAGCCCACGGCUCAACCGUGGAGGGUCAUUGGAAACUGGGAGACUUGAGUGCAGGAGAGAAAAGUGGAAUUCCACGUGUAGCGGUGAAAUGCGUAGAGAUGUGGAGGAACACCAGUGGCGAAGGCGGCUUUUUGGCCUGUAACUGACGCUGAGGCGCGAAAGCGUGGGGAGCAAACAGGAUUAGAUACCCUGGUAGUCCACGCCGUAAACGAUGAGUGCUAGGUGUUGGGGGGUUCCACCCUCAGUGCUGAAGUUAACACAUUAAGCACUCCGCCUGGGGAGUACGACCGCAAGGUUG
RNAcentral lists this ribosomal RNA (513 nucleotides) under uncultured Bacillota bacterium. Its description in RNAcentral is "bacterial SSU rRNA". It matches the Rfam family "Bacterial small subunit ribosomal RNA", at positions 390 to 896 of the family's 1533-position model. Lineage: Bacteria; Bacillati; Bacillota. The record is from RNAcentral.